AUGAAGUGUUUGGACAACAUAAUAGCGCAGAAAAAGAUACCAGAGGAGGAACUUAUAGGAAGUAGAAGGUAUGCUAAGCUUAUGAAGGAGGCAAGUCAAGCGCAACAAGUUGAACCUGGUAUUGGUGAUCCUCAGAAAGUUUCGACAAAGGGUGCACCUAAGAAGGGGCGGUCAAAGGGGGGCCCCGAUGUUACAAAGAAUGGUAGUCCAAAAAAUAUACAGAGAAAAAAAGUGGUCCUUUGUGCAGUCUGUGUAAUCAACCAGGUCAUAACAAGGCUACAUGUGAAAAAACCAGAAAAAUUGGGCGUAGAGAAGCAUCUUGCUACGUUGGAAGAAUAA
Molecule: ribosomal RNA, 339 nt
Filed under: Triticum aestivum (bread wheat)
Lineage: Eukaryota; Viridiplantae; Streptophyta; Magnoliopsida; Poales; Poaceae
Description: partial small subunit ribosomal RNA
Source: RNAcentral